GCGCACAUAAGACAUGCAAGUCGAACGGAAGUCGUUACAAAAAGGAUUGAAGAUUUAUCUGAUUGAGAUUUUGUAACAAUGGCUUUAGUGGCGGACUGGUGAGUAACGCGUAAGCAAUCUGCCUGUUAGAGGGGAAUAACAAUGAAAAAUCAUUGCUAAUACCGCAUAUGCCAUAGUUAUCGCAUGAUAACAGUGGGAAAGGAGUAAUCCGCUAACAGAUGAGCUUGCGUCUGAUUAGUUAGUUGGUGGGGUAACGGCCUACCAAGACGACGAUCAGUAGCCGGACUGAGAGGUUGAACGGCCACAUUGGGACUGAGAUACGGCCCAGACUCCUACGGGAGGCAGCAGUCGGGAAUAUUGCGCAAUGGAGGAAACUCUGACGCAGUGACGCCGCGUAUAGGAAGAAGGUUUUCGGAUUGUAAACUAUUGUCGUUAGGGAAGAAAAAAGACAGUACCUAAGGAGGAAGCUCCGGCUAACUACGUGCCAGCAGCCGCGGUAAUACGUAGGGAGCGAGCGUUAUCCGGAUUUAUUGGGUGUAAAGGGUGCGUAGACGGGUCUACAAGUUAGUUGUGAAAUCCCUCGGCUCAACUGAGGAACUGCAGCUAAAACUAUAGAUCUUGAGUGCANGAGAGGUAAGUGGAAUUCCUAGUGUAGCGGUGAAAUGCGUAGAUAUUAGGAGGAACACCAGUGGCGAAGGCG
This 700-nucleotide ribosomal RNA is filed under the name uncultured bacterium. RNAcentral's name for it is "bacterial SSU rRNA". It matches the Rfam family "Bacterial small subunit ribosomal RNA", at positions 42 to 723 of the family's 1533-position model. The record is from RNAcentral.